GUGAGGAAUAUUGGUCAAUGGGCGGGAGCCCGAACCAGCCAAGUCGCGUGAAGGAAGAAGGAUCUAUGGUUCGUAAACUUCUUUUGCAGGGGAAUAAAGUGCAGGACGUGUCCUGUUUUGUAUGUACCCUGAGAAUAAGGAUCGGCUAACUCCGUGCCAGCAGCCGCGGUAAUAAGGAGGAUCCGAGCGUUAUCCGGAUUUAUUGGGUUUAAAGGGUGCGUAGGUGGUUUGAUAAGUCAGCGGUGAAAGUUUGCAGCUUAACUGUAAAAAUGCCGUUGAAACUGUCGGACUUGAGUGUAAAUGAGGUAGGCGGAAUGCGUGGUGUAGCGGUGAAAUGCAUAGAUAUCACGCAGAACUCCGAUUGCGAAGGCAGCUUACUAAGCUACAACUGACACUGAAGCACGAAAGCGUGGGGAUCAAACAGGAUUAGAAACCCUUGUAGUCC
This 445-nucleotide ribosomal RNA is filed under the name uncultured bacterium. RNAcentral's name for it is "partial 16S ribosomal RNA". It matches the Rfam family "Bacterial small subunit ribosomal RNA", at positions 354 to 796 of the family's 1533-position model. The record is from RNAcentral.